GGGGUGUACCAGAAACACUCUUGGGUGUUGUCUCUAAGUAUAAUGCUGGUGUAGAGUAAUUUAAGUGUUUAUUUUAGGAUGAUGGACUCCCUGAGUGUACAACGGUUGAGUGUCCUACUAUCCCGGCGGCACGUCGGUUUAGGUUUCGAUUCGUCAUUGGCUCGCUGCGCCUUCUCAUUGGUUGAAUCUAGAGACAUGUGACCGUUUGUCCUCUUCCACACUACGCGGCAAACUGUUUCGGCAGAGACGGUUGACUAGAGAGGAUCGAAUCAAUAUCGCCAAGGAAUUGCUCCGAGUGAACGAAGACAUUUUUGAACUUCACGGGAAUGUAAACAGGUUGGGAUAGUGACAUGGCCUCACUUUUCCUGCUGGUCUACCUCCUGCCACCACCUCCAAGUGGAAAGAAUGGAGCUGUCAAAAUCAGUAUCCGGGAAGCUGUGGAUCGUGUAGUGAAGUUUCACAGGGUAAUUGUAUCCUGAUAAUUUUUAUUUUAUUUUUAAAGGUCCCAUGGCAUGCCGCCAGAGCUUGUGUGUUGCUGAUGGAUGUCACAAUCUCUGUGUUUGCCAAUCUACUUAUCGAGUCUUGAAAACAAAAUGGCGUCGACGGGUGAUCUACUGAUGGUAUUGUGUGUAUAAAAUGUAAUUUUAUUUUUAAUAAACAAUCUGUACACAAA
Molecule: long non-coding RNA, 673 nt
Organism: Gadus morhua (Atlantic cod)
Lineage: Eukaryota; Metazoa; Chordata; Actinopteri; Gadiformes; Gadidae
Exons: 2
Source: RefSeq, a predicted model, not a curated record